UGGUCUAUCACUUGGUCCGACUGGUCUUGAACCGAGUGAUCUUUGGUCCGAGUGGUCAUGGAUUCUUGUCGUAAUUGUACUUGAAUUUCCUAUGCUGUCACCCCUAAUACGAAAUGAUAUCUUCCGCAGAGUGACGUAACCAUCUUCCAUAUUGGUAUUUUUCUCUGGGAAAAGUUUGUGAUAUUUCAAUUUUUCAAGAGAGAACUUGUUUUCAUCGUUGUGAUAAUUAGUUGUGCAAUGGAUUUUAUCGAACGGGAGUUCAUUACAAACACACAGCACCAGACUGGAUUCGGUCGAACUAUUAUUGUUAUUAGAAUUUGGAAACUCUGGUGGCCUCUCACUACCCCGCAGUGUUGCUAUGGGUCCGUAAGACAGGGCCGACGAUGAAGAGGAUGAAGAUGAAGAUGAAACAUUUCUCAAACGCUUACGAUUAAUGCGGAUAGGAGACACAAAAAGUGGUUUGGCUAAGUUACUUGCAGUACUAGGGAUUUCAGAAUUUUGUGGAGGUACCACUUCACGCACUGCUGUCCCUCUGGCCUCUCGUCUUUCGGAUUCGGACCUGGCUUGACGCCUAACAUAUUUAACCUCAUUUUUCAUGUUGGCCACAAAAUCCUUAUAUUCGGCCUUCUCUUUCUCACCAUAUCUCAUGUUGGCCCUUUUUACCCUCUCCAUGGUGGCACGUGGACAUCCAGGGUGUUUAAUGUCCGGUCGGUUUGUAACAUUCUUGCAUUGACUACAUUUGUAUCCAAAACCAGAAUGGCUACUGAUGAUGUGCCUCUCGCAAUGGGAGAACCGCAGAUAUUCUCGGUUAUCAUUGCAUAUACUGCAUUUAUACCGUGUGACCUGUAAUACAUAAUGAAAAUGACCUUCGUUAUUUAAAAAGUGAUUGCUACAAAGGUAGAACUCUACCAAGAACAAGAUCAACAGUGCCACAUUGAAUCUGAGAUAAAACAGCCCCAGCUCCAAAAUUGGAAGCGUCGGAAUCGAUAAUGAACAAGCCCUCUGGCUGGGGAAAUGACAGAAUCGGUGGACUGGGCUAGCUUUUGGCUCUCCUCGAGAUCGACGGACGACUUGUGGUACAAUUCCACUAGGUGCUCAGGCACUGAUUGGCUUUGAGAGUGACAUACAGAAACAGGCUCCUGACUGAUUUGAUGCACAGAACGUCCACAUUGCCUAUCAGCGAGUCUGUGCGCUUCUAACCGAAUGGCAUGUGUUUCAGCCUCAUUAAUAUCUUUAGGCCGAAGUUCACGUAUUCUCAACCUCAUGUCCGAGUCUUGGAUGGAAUCAACAAAAUGAUCGAGGGCCAAGAUGUUAGUGAGCGAUGAAUCGGCUGUCGGAUAAGCCUGCCGUGUUAAUUUACGAAUGGCCUGGGCUAAUUCAGGCAGAGUUUCAGCCUUUCCUCUACAACGAGUCGGGCUCGAUACAUUUCUGAAUGUUCAAGUGAGCCAAAUCUAAUACUGAGAGUCCUAAUGAGAAUAUUGAAGUCUUUUCUCUCCAGUGGGCUGAGUUCAGUUAAAAUAGCUCUGGCAUUACCAGUUAAGCUGCUGGCUAAUACAAGGAUUUGUCAUUAUAACUCCACCUAUUUAUGUUGGAAACAAUUUCAAACUGGGAAAGGUACUCCUCAAAAUCUUCUAAACCGUCAUAUUGAUGGGGUCUCAUUUUAACAGAGUGAUUAUUUUCAUGAGCUCUACUAUUAAAACGCGGAUAACUCACAUGGUUAUCAUUUUGGUUUGAUUGUGUAAUGGGAGAACUACUUUGAAAAUCACCUUCAGGAAAUACAUCCCUAACCAUGCCACUCCCCUCAAGUCUAGCACUUUUACGUAACCCAUUAAAUUCAUGAGACAAUGCAUCGACAUCCUUCUUAAUAACAUUUAUUUCUUGUUUCAUUUCGAUCAACCCUUUAUGGCUCUCACUUCUUAGAUAUUCCAAUUGUUGGCUGAUUUGAUCUAAGAUCGAGUUGUUAUUUAUCAAAAUACUGGGAUGGUCGCUUUCCACAGACUGAAGUGAUUCAUUGGAAUUUUGUAAUACUAUCAUUGGUGCCCUCAUUAGUCGGGUUUGCUACAGCACUUUUUUUAUUAUUUAUGAUAACUUCUGUAUCAUCAAAAGUCGCCAUUAUGAAGGAAUUAUAUCACAAUAAAACGAAAUGUUCUUUUUUUCAGGUGCGUUUGUUGAUUAUAUUUUUAUUUAUGAUUUAACUAUUGACUUAUUCUCUUGGCACACUAGAGCUGGAGUUUACAAUAAUAAUAAGGGAAUUUUGUGGUAGUAUCCCACUUCUGACACCAAUGUUACGAUUCCUCGAUUCCCUUAGCGAAGAACGUAAAUGGAAAUAGGGUUCGCUCCAGUCUAGUGCUAUACCAAAAGAAUAAGACAAACAACAAGUUAAAAAUUAAUAAAUUUUAUUAGGAGGAAAACAAUUAAUUAAUUGUAGGCCUAUAUAUUAUAGGUUCUACGGCAAAUAAAUAACCAAAUCGGCAAUACCUAAACAAAUCAUCAAAUUGCAUAAAUUAUAAAAUAUUGGUAGGCAAUUAUAGUAGUGAACGCCAGAUACUUUCUGUAUUAAAAUAAUUAAAAAUAUGAAGCUGAUCAUUGACGUUACUGCCCUUUGCUCUAAUUGUGGGAUUGCAUGUUUUUCCGUCCCCAAAGCCAAAAGUGACAAAAUAGGGAUUUUUCCCCAAAAAGUGGGGAUUUACCCACUAGGCCUAACCCACUAAUUGAUAAAAAUGGGGAUUUUUCCCCCAAAAUGGCAAAAGUGGGUAUUUACCCACUAACCCACUAACUGAUGAAAUGGG
Long non-coding RNA from Patella vulgata (common limpet), 2789 nucleotides. RefSeq lists it as uncharacterized. NCBI's taxonomy places the organism in Eukaryota, Metazoa, Mollusca, Gastropoda, Patellidae. The transcript is spliced from 6 exons. The record is from RefSeq and is a predicted model, not a curated record.